Long non-coding RNA from Macrobrachium nipponense, 687 nucleotides. RefSeq lists it as uncharacterized. The record is from RefSeq and is a predicted model, not a curated record. Lineage: Eukaryota; Metazoa; Arthropoda; Malacostraca; Decapoda; Palaemonidae. The transcript has 3 exons.
UGUUUUUGUUAAAGAUCUGCCAAUAACUUUUCCUACAUAUUUUCAUUUUCAGAUGUCAAUGAAUGUAAUUCCAGCUCUCCCCUUUGUUCGGACGUUCAAAAGUGCAUCAACACAUCCUGGAAGUUAUUCCUGCGCUUGUCAAAAAUGUUCACCUCAAUGCGAACAAGGAGGAGUUCUCAUCCUUGGUUCGGUGUGUGUCAGGCUCUCAUCAGGCAUGGAGCUUGUAAUGACCUGGCGUGAAGGAUUUCUCAGCUGUGGGCUUCCAAACUACUUGGUUCCAAUGGCGACGCAAGAACAAAUUGAUUUAAUCGGUAGUCGGGUGCUGCCCAACGAUAACAACGCCGCCUGGGUCUUGUCAACACCAAACCAACAGCCCUUUACAAAAGCUUGUGCCCAGCCAUUGAGAGGAACGGUACCUUCUUUGUAGCUAAAGCUUAUCCUUGUAACACAAAACUCAUUUACGCUAUUUGCGAAAGCACAAAAAUGUGGUAGCAAACAAUCCCAAAUGGUGCCGUCAUCAGGAAUGAAUAAUUUCCUCAAGAGAAAUGAUUUGAUAUUGACGUUAGAAUAAAUAGAGGGACUUGCCAGUUUCGCAAAACCCCUCUGGCGUUUUGUGGGGAAGAUCAAAGAUGACCGAAUUCCUCGCAACCUCUGUUUCUUCAUCAAAUAAAAGAGUUAUUAAUGUCA